GUUUGAUCCUGGCUCAGAUUGAACGCUGGCGGCAUGCUUUACACAUGCAAGUCGAACGGUAACAGGGUGCUUGCACCGCUGACGAGUGGCGAACGGGUGAGUAAUGCGUCGGAACGUGCCGAGUAGUGGGGGAUAACGCAGCGAAAGUUGUGCUAAUACCGCAUACGUACUGAGGUAGAAAGUGGGGGACCUUCGGGCCUCACGCUAUUCGAGCGGCCGACGUCUGAUUAGCUAGUAGGUGAGGUAAAGGCUCACCUAGGCGACGAUCAGUAGCGGGUCUGAGAGGAUGAUCCGCCACACUGGGACUGAGACACGGCCCAGACUCCUACGGGAGGCAGCAGUGGGGAAUUUUGGACAAUGGGCGAAAGCCUGAUCCAGCCAUGCCGCGUGUCUGAAGAAGGCCUUCGGGUUGUAAAGGACUUUUGUCAGGGAGGAAAUCCCUAGUGCUAAUAACACUGGGGGAUGACAGUACCUGAAGAAUAAGCACCGGCUAACUACGUGCCAGCAGCCGCGGUAAUACGUAGGGUGCGAGCGUUAAUCGGAAUUACUGGGCGUAAAGCGUGCGCAGGCGGUUUGAUAAGCCAGAUGUGAAAUCCCCGAGCUCAACUUGGGAACUGCGUUUGGAACUGUCAGACUAGAGUGCGUCAGAGGGGGGUGGAAUUCCGCGUGUAGCAGUGAAAUGCGUAGAGAUGCGGAGGAACACCGAUGGCGAAGGCAGCCCCCUGGGAUGACACUGACGCUCAUGCACGAAAGCGUGGGGAGCAAACACGAUUAGAUACCCUGGUAGUCCACGCCCUAAACGAUGUCAAUUAGCUGUUGGGGGUUAGAAUCCCUGGUAGCGUAGCUAACGCGUGAAAUUGACCGCCU
This 867-nucleotide ribosomal RNA is filed under the name uncultured bacterium. RNAcentral describes it as "bacterial SSU rRNA". It matches the Rfam family "Bacterial small subunit ribosomal RNA", at positions 11 to 874 of the family's 1533-position model. The record is from RNAcentral.